RNAcentral lists this ribosomal RNA (465 nucleotides) under uncultured bacterium. Its description in RNAcentral is "partial 16S ribosomal RNA". It matches the Rfam family "Bacterial small subunit ribosomal RNA", at positions 28 to 507 of the family's 1533-position model. The record is from RNAcentral.
GACGAACGCUGGCGGCGUGCUUAACACAUGCAAGUCGAACGGAAAGGCCCUGCUUGCAGGGUACUCGAGUGGCGAACGGGUGAGUAACACGUGGGUGAUCUGCCCUGCACUUCGGGAUAAGCCUGGGAAACUGGGUCUAAUACCGGAUAGGAGCCAUUUUUAGUGUGAUGGUUGGAAAGUUUUUUCGGUGUAGGAUGAGCUCGCGGCCUAUCAGCUUGUUGGUGGGGUAAUGGCCUACCAAGGCGGCGACGGGUAGCCGGCCUGAGAGGGUGGACGGCCACAUUGGGACUGAGAUACGGCCCAGACUCCUACGGGAGGCAGCAGUGGGGAAGAUUGAACAAUGGGCGCAAGCCUGAUGCAGCGACGCCGCGUGGGGGAUGACGGCCUUCGGGUUGGAAACUCCUUUCGCUAGGGACGAAGCUUUUUGUGACGGUACCUAGAGAAGAAGCACCGGCUAACUACGUG